Molecule: long non-coding RNA, 600 nt
Organism: Topomyia yanbarensis
Lineage: Eukaryota; Metazoa; Arthropoda; Insecta; Diptera; Culicidae
Exons: 2
Source: RefSeq, a predicted model, not a curated record
UACAAAUGGUCGCGUCUAUUUUGUUUCGUUAGCUGUGAAUACACAGAUGGAUACAUAAACAGUUUGAUGAUCGGUCAACCUGUAGGCCAGCUGCGGAGAUUAUAGAGUGCAUUGUGUUAUUUUCGGCGUGAUUUUUAACUCGACUUAGAGACUAACAUCAACAUCAUAGAACGUUCAUACUGCAUAUAUAUUUGGAUCGCUGAAAGUAUGAAACCACAGCAAUUACAUCAAAAAAGUUAUCUAACAGCACCGUUAAAUUUACGGUUAUUUGAAAUGAAGGAAUUUUAAAAGACGGAAAAAGAAAUCGUUCUGCCACAGACAGACUGAUUGCAUUGUAACCGGUCGAAGUUCGGAUGAAUGUGUGCACAUGACUAUCUAGCUACCGGAGUUUGGAGGAGGUGUAAAAUACCCCCGGAUUGGAAGGAUUAGACGUGUGUAGAACAAUAGGUUGGAUUGAUGACGAUAAAAUGUGGUUGAAUCAAUCGACUCAGUAGUCUUCCCCGUAGCAAUAAGCGAUCUUCAAGACGCAAUAGAAAUUUGAUAUUCGGUUUGGUGGAAUGCUAAGAAUAAAUAAAAAUUGUAGAAAUGAAAUCAAUUUAA